GACGUAGGGCGCGAGCGUUGUCCGGAAUUACUGGGCGUAAAGCGUGCGCAGGCGGCUUCGCAAGUCAGGCGUGAAAUCCCCGGGCUUAACCUGGGAAUGGCGUCUGAAACUACGGAGCUGGAGUGUGGCAGAGGGAGGUAGAAUUCCAGGUGUAGCGGUGAAAUGCGUAGAUAUCUGGAGGAACACCGGUGGCGAAGGCGGCAUCCUGGACCAACACUGACGCUGAGGAGCGAAAGCCAGGGGAGCAAACGGG
This 253-nucleotide ribosomal RNA is filed under the name uncultured bacterium. RNAcentral describes it as "partial 16S ribosomal RNA". It matches the Rfam family "Bacterial small subunit ribosomal RNA", at positions 524 to 776 of the family's 1533-position model. The record is from RNAcentral.